CGCACUGGCACCUAACGGCUCUUCUUCGAGUCUUCUCAGAGGUUGGAGAUUCCCUGUCUUCUCCAACCUCUGCCAAGUCUUCAGAGAGGUUGGAGUGCGCCUGUCGGAGGUACUAGACCCCAGAUGAGGAUCUCAGGAAGAUCCACAAAGCUGCGUCCAGGGGAACGAACGUGUGGAAGCUGCAGCGGAGCCUCCUGCUCAAGAGUAAAGGACCGGUCUGAAACCUACAAGAACAGAUUCUCACAGUAGACGAGGAGCCUGUUUUUCAGCUAGCUGCUGCAAGGAGCUGGACAUUUCUCCCUUCAAAUAGGACCUGGAAGGCCUGGAAGCAUCUGGAGAAGGGCAUGGCUGUGAGUAGAGAAACAGAGGAUACAGGCUAAAGCAGGAGGAAGCGAGAGGACUCACGGAAAGCCUUGCUGCACUCUCCAAAAGAGCUGCCCUUUUCACGUGAAGAGCUAUGUGAUCGGAUCCCCGGUUUGGCAGAGUAGACAUGCGAGAAGACUGAACGUUUCAUCGUUGAAACCUCUUAAAGGUGGAAUGUGUGGCAGAAAGAACGUCUGAGAAGCUCACGCGAUUUGCAGAAGGAACAUUUGUAGAAGAUUCCCUGUUUUCCGAAGGAAUGUCAAGUUCCAAAGAAGAACGUCCGAGAAGAUUCAGUGUUUGGCAGAAGAAACCUCUGUCAGACGUGAACGUGUGACAGAAGGGCCAUCCAGGAAGAUUGCACACUGGGCAGAAAGAAGACUUAAGAACAUUGCAUGGACAGCAGAAGGAGUGCUUCGGGAGAUUGCCUGGUGGGCGCCAGGAACACCUGAGAUGAUGUCAUGGCAAACAGUGGAAAUGAGAGAAAGAUGAUGGAGCUGCUAAACCUUGCCCAUUUUGAUCUGUUAUGUGAGACUUGCCUUUCGCCUUCUGUCAUGAUUGUGAAGUGUCCCCAGCCAUGUGGAACUGACACAUAUUGCUUGUCUCUGAACUUCUCAGCUGCCUGCAGAUCUUCCUGUUUUUCAGCUGCAGUUAGGGUUUGUCUGAGGAGAAGCAUAACAUCCCUCCAGGCCAAAUGCUCCACAAAUAAAUGUGUUGAAUGAAUGAACAAAUGAAUAAGCGAAGUGAAUGGAACAUCAAACUGCAUAAAAAUAUAUUUAUUCAUAAAUGAGAGGUGAUGAUUGCCAACAUAUCAUAAUCAGACUCUGACCUUGGUUACUUAUGAGUUUGACAACGAAGAGGAAAGAGGAUCAGAAUGGAUCUACAUUUGUCCUGUGUCAAUGGCUAUCCAGAAGCGGUAACUUUGCUGGUGCACAGAAAGUGCCAGCUUAACGUGUGUGACGGUGAAAACACGACACCUCUGAUGAAGAUAUAUAGUAGCCAGUUAUUUCAGCAUGAGAUGGAUUUGGUUUAAAUACAUAGAAUAAAAAUGGAUUUAUUUCAUUGAAAUGUAACUAAUUUGUGAACCUAUGGAAUAUUUAUUUGUAUUUUCUAGAAUUUACAAUGUGUUUCUUGGUCUAAUACUGACAGGCUAUACAAUGCCAAGAAGAUGUUUAUGCAACUAUUCUGCUGGACUUUGGUGCCUAUCCAGAUAUUACAGAUAUCAACAGAAAAACUGCUCUCCACUGUGCUGUCUAUAGUGAGAAUAUGUCAGUGGUGGCAAAACUGCUUUCACACAACACAAACAUCUAAGUGAAAAAUGGAGUAGAGAAUAACCAACAUUAUUUUCAAAAUAUUUGAAAUCCAUUUGCUUUAACACUGACAUGCGUUAGGGUCAGUUUUUCAUAUUUGGAAGCUCAAGCAUGCUCUUCUGUGAAUGAAAAUAUUCUGAAGUAACUGUCUAAUAAUUUAAAUAUUAAUGUUUUUAAAGAAGUAUUAGACGGUAUAGCUUUCUUUCAUGCAUUUAUGAUAAAUAUUUAAAUUUAUUAAAGGUAAAAGUUUGUUUUUCAAAUAUUUUAGCCACUCAAGUUUUUGUUCUUUCUAAUUAGUGUAAAACAACACAGAAAAGCAAAAUGUGCCUGCAUAAACUGAGUCAACAUGUAAACCUUUUGAUAUUUAUUAUUAAAUAAGUUAUUUGGCAAUGUAUCAAAUUUUUAAAUGUGUGUCCCUUUUGACCUAGAAAUUCUACUCCCAGGAAUUUCUCCUAAGAAGAUAAUCAGAAAAGUUUACAAAGAUGAAUAGAAAAGAAGAGUCACUGCAGCCUUAUUUGUAAAAGUGAAAAAUAGCAACAGCCCAAAUGUCAUGAAUGGAGAAUUAAUAUAUGGUGCAUCCAUACAAAAAUACUGUGCAGCGAGUAAGCCAAUGAAGCCCAAAAUUUCUGACAUGGACAUUGACAUAGCAGAGUGACAAUAACGAGGUUAUAAAACAUCAUCAGUGAAAGGUCUAUUUGUACAAAUUAAUUUUUUGAGUGUAUACUUAGGGUAUAUAAAAUGUAUUUGGUUAAUGUCAAAAUAAUUAUCUUUGCUUAAGUAAAAUUUGGGGGCAAUUUAAAUUUUUUAAUAUAUUUUCUUAUAUUGACCAGUUUUCUUAAAAAGUAGAUACUAUUUUUAUAAUCAUACAACAGCAAGAGAGGAGCUCUCAUACCUUCUCCAUUCUUCUGUAUUACCUAUUACAUAGUGAAUUUUUUUCUAAAAUUAAUACUGAAUAAAAGUU
This 2631-nucleotide long non-coding RNA is filed under the name Homo sapiens (human). RNAcentral's name for it is "HSALNT0346947". Lineage: Eukaryota; Metazoa; Chordata; Mammalia; Primates; Hominidae. The record is from RNAcentral.